Molecule: ribosomal RNA, 213 nt
Filed under: Salmonella enterica subsp. enterica serovar Kentucky
Lineage: Bacteria; Pseudomonadati; Pseudomonadota; Gammaproteobacteria; Enterobacterales; Enterobacteriaceae
Description: partial 23S ribosomal RNA
Rfam family: Bacterial large subunit ribosomal RNA
Source: RNAcentral
GGUUAAGCGACUAAGCGUACACGGUGGAUGCCCUGGCAGUCAGAGGCGAUGAAGGACGUGCUAAUCUGCGAUAAGCGUCGGUAAGGUGAUAUGAACCGUUAUAACCGGCGAUUUCCGAAUGGGGAAACCCAGUGUGAUUCGUCACACUAUCGUUAACUGAAUACAUAGGUUAACGAAGCGAACCGGGGGAACUGAAACAUCUAAGUACCCCGA